Lampris incognitus (smalleye Pacific opah) is the source of this 150-nucleotide long non-coding RNA. RefSeq lists it as uncharacterized. The transcript has 3 exons. Lineage: Eukaryota; Metazoa; Chordata; Actinopteri; Lampriformes; Lampridae. The record is from RefSeq and is a predicted model, not a curated record.
AAAACCAGCUGAAGAAGCCCAGACUGAGACAUCCUUCCACAAAGUCAGACCAUGGAGGUAAAGCCGUCCCGUCACCAUGCGGGUCAGGAAGUGCUCUGUCAGACAGGCCCGUGUUGGUGAGCGGAAGAGGAGACGUCUCUGUUUUUCCCA